AUACGGAGGGGGCAAGCGUUGUUCGGAAUUACUGGGCGUAAAGAGUACGUAGGCGGAUCGUUAAGUUAGAGGUGAAAUCCCAGGGCUCAACCCUGGAACUGCCUUUAAUACUGGCGAUCUAGAGAUCGAGAGAGGUGAGUGGAAUUUCCAGUGUAGAGGUGAAAUUCGUAGAUAUUGGAAAGAACACCAGUAGCGAAGGCGGCUCACUGGCUCGAUACUGACGCUGAGGUACGAAAGCGUGGGGAGCAAACAAGAUUAGAAACCCUAGUAGUCC
Molecule: ribosomal RNA, 274 nt
Filed under: uncultured bacterium
Lineage: Bacteria
Description: partial 16S ribosomal RNA
Rfam family: Bacterial small subunit ribosomal RNA
Source: RNAcentral